GGCUUCCUCUCUCGGUGGCACUUAGCUGAUGGCUUGGCCUGCCCAUCCUGAUGUCAGUGGAAUGCUGUCAAGGCUUCGCACCUGCAGAACCUGGCAGGUGCUUGUUCAACUCCAUUCUGGAUUCCAGAGAAUGCUAAGCCUCUGAGGUGAUAGUCUGGACCCACCUUUGUGACCAGUGCCCUGUGCUUCAGGGACGUGAUAGUGGUCUCCUCUGGAGACCAGAGUGAACUCCGAGCAGGAACACUUCCUCAUUGUCCCUUUUGGGCUUCUUUACAGUGAAGUGACUGCAUCCAGUUUGGUUAAGAUCAAUCUACAAGGAGAUAUAGUAGAUCGUGGAAGCACUAAUCUGGGAGUAAAUCAAGCCGGCUUCACCUUACACUCUGCAAUUUAUGCUGCACGCCCGGACGUGAAGUGCGUUGUGCACAUUCACACCCCAGCAGGGGCUGCGGUCUCUGCAAUGAAAUGUGGCCUCUUGCCAAUCUCCCCGGAGGCGCUUUCCCUUGGAGAAGUGGCUUAUCAUGACUACCAUGGCAUUCUGGUUGAUGAAGAGGAAAAAGUUUUGAUUCAGAAAAAUCUGGGGCCUAAAAGCAAGGUCAGUAGGCAUCUAAUCUGGUAUUUAAAUUACAGCAGAAAGAAGAAUAAAGCAAAGGACCAGUAUUCCCGCCCAGCUCCACAGAGCAUUCAUGCUUCCCCUCAGGUUCUUAUUCUCCGGAACCAUGGGCUCGUGUCAGUUGGAGAGAGCGUUGAGGAGGCCUUCUAUUACAUCCAUAACCUUGUGGUUGCCUGUGAGAUCCAGGUAGGGGACAGCCAUUCCAGUCACUCUACAGUUUAUUUAGAUGUGUCUGGGGUUCACAUCGAUUUUUUUUUUUUGAUACUUAUCGAGUAGGAGAGGAGUCUUUGAGCAAUCUCUUUGCCAAAGAUAAGCUCAUGGAUUUGGGACUUGAUCAGGACAAAUGCUGUUUCACUGAUUGAAGUUGGCAAAGGAUUACUGGGCUUUUCAUUUCUAAUUUUUAAAUUUUCAAAUAUGUCAGUCACUACCAUUUAUGGAGUACUGGUGUGUACAGGCCUGGCAUCAGGUGCUUAGUGUGUGUCAUCACAUGUGUGAUGUCACAUGACCCCCACAGUACUCUUUGAAAAAGCAGGUAUAAAGAGGUAGAGACUCAGAGACUUGCCUGCAGCUUACAGCUGUGAGUUCCCCUCCACUCUGUCAGCCCUUAGUUCACGUUCUCCCCUCUGCUUCUUGACUUAUGUCUGUGGUGUAGUGAGGUCCCAAGUCCUUUGUAGGAUCCUGAAAGGUGCUGUGUUUUCUCAUUUCUCUGCCAACUUUGGUGCCCAAUAUUUUUGUCAUGCUAAAGAAAUACUUCUGAAAGUAACCUUGUGAUCAGUCUGUCACUAUCCAUUCUACAUUUUUUAUUCUUACACUCUAGAGAUUUGGUUUCUUUUGAAACCUACAUUUUUAUUCAAGUCAUCUGACCCUCUUGAUCUCAGUAAGGAACUCAAGCCAUGCUGUGUGUGUUUUGGAAAAGGUUCGAACUCUGGCCAGUGCAGGAGGACCAGACAACUUAGUCCUGCUGAAUCCUGAGAAGUACAAAGCCAAGUCCCGUUCCCCAGGGUCUCCGGUAGGGGAAGGCACUGGAUCGCCUCCCAAGUGGCAGAUUGGUGAGCAGGAAUUUGAAGCCCUCAUGCGGAUGCUCGAUAAUCUGGUAAGAAUGGUGCCACCACUUGAUGAUAAACCUUUUGUUCUAAAAGCAUCAGUGUUGGUGUUCUUAUAGCAAGUGCGAUUGCUGUCUUUUAUGCAGUAUCUGAAUACCUUCACCUUCAAAGUCAUGAAGAAGCACUAGGGUUAACUUCUAAGGUAAAUUACAAUAAAAUGUAGAGGUGAAGGGUUCCUGGUAUUGUUUUAUUUUUUAAAGAUAACCUUGUGUUUGGACUCAGUGGGGACAAGAGCACAGAGAAUGCGUAGGCAGCUGGAUGACCAGCUGUGUCAGCUCAGUCCCCACCAUCCCACAAGCAAGCGAGAGAGGUGGCACUUUUGAAAUCGGUCAGUCAGGUAUUUAGGCUUUUGUCUUAACAGCAAAUCCUGGCUGUCUGGGGCCUGAUGACUGUGUUCCAUGGGUAUCCACUCCCUGUCCACAGUGUGGGAGCCCCUCAGCUGCUUAUUGCAGGGACACAGAGCCCGGCAUGGUCCAGAAGGCGGGCUUAUGGGGCCUGCAGCACACAGGGAAAGUGAGCCCACACUGUGAUAGGAGGGCGGACACACAGGAUGUGUUCUGUGUUACAGGGUUGCCGUGAAGAAUUUCAUUCUUUUGCAAGGACUGGAGAGAAAAUUUUAUGUGGAAGGUAGCCCUUGGAAAUGACCUCAAAGAAUAGGUAGGAUCUUAGCCUGAGUUUGAAAGCCUGGAAAAAAACAGGAUGACAGGAUGAAGAGGCCACAGCACAGCUGCAGACAGUGGGAGUGGGGAGAUGGGAACAUGCACCGUACGGUGCACCUUUCAGGUUCAUCUUGACUUUACCAGGAUCAUUAAAUACUCAGUUCUUAGAGCUGUAUUAGAACACUGCCCUUGGGGUCUCAGUCCCGCAGCCACAUCAUCAGACACAGGGCUCUGGAGCAGAUCCCUUCCAUGCUGCACAUCAGACCUCUUAGAUGGGGGUCACGAUGGUCCAUCCUAACGCCACAUGACCUCAAGUGGUGUAGAUGUGAGGACAUGUCAGUGUGGGGAAAGAAGGCUUCAGAGGGGCCAGUAUCCUUGUAUGCUGCCAGCCAGUACUGGACAAGUGGACACAUUCCAGCCUAAGACAGGCGUGGCCCUUGGACCAGAUCACAGAUCACAGAUGAGAUGGGUGGCUUCAGGAGGCAGGGUGGCUUCAGGAGGCAGGAAGUUUAACUUUCCUGAAGGUUUGGAAUAAAAAGUAUUCAUAGGUCUGAUUCAGGCUAUGUUAAAUGUUCUUACUGAAAUUCUUUGCACUUGGGAUGAAUAUUGUCCGCUAGAAAGGAGGAACUGAGGGUUUUCUGCCUGGGCGCGAUAGUCAGUCAGUGGAGUAGACUCAAUCAGUGACACAGGGACGAACAGAGAAGGCAGAGUCUAGCGUAACUUUUUGAGUUCAUAUAGUCAAUGAGGUUGAUUGCAUUAAUUGACUGUCUACUGUUGAGUCAUGAACAGGACACAGUUCUUGCCCUCAGGAGUUUAUGACCUAAUAAGAGAGAUGGACAAACGAUUCCCAAAUGAGCCCUGCCCCUGUGAUCUGUGCAGUCAUAGGCAUGAUGAGAGCUUGCAGGCAGAGGUGGGUGCCGAUUGGUCAAGGAGGUAGGAAGAGGAGCAAAAGCUCACGAAGAAGGCUGAAGAAGCAGUUAGAGUUGGGUGGCCAGCCAGGGUAGUGAAGCUGCAGGGACUCAUAGCUGGAGAAAGCUUGAGAGUGGGGCAGCCAUGGCCCAGGUGUGCGUCAGGAGCCAGGUCAUCCAGCAUGGCUGUGCAAGGUAAGGAGGGCUGAGGUUGGCCCAGUCACACAGCCCCUGCCUCCUGGUAAAUACGGCGACAUUUUGCUGCUCUUCUACUUACAGUCAGUGUGACGGAGGAGAGAGAGGGGGUCAGAAUGCACAGCAGCCACCAAAGACUGUGCUGAAAGCACAUCCUAGAAGGCGGAGAGGGGGAAGUCAAAAUCAGGCAGAAACUCUGAUUUGGUAGGGAAGGAAGAUAAGGAUGAAUGAUUAAUAAGUAAAACAUUCAUUACAAAAAGCAUGAUGAAUGUUUACUCAAUGUCCUUAAUGUGUACAGAUUGUUUUAAUAUUAGAAGGCCAUAUAGUUUAUAAGAAAUAAACUAGACAGCAAUCACUAAUCAUAGUCCAUGUUUUAAUUUAGCAUCGGGGUUGGCAUAUAUGUUGUUUGCUAAUAACUGAGUAGAGAAUAGUUGCCAAUUUCCACACUAUAAUAUAUGUUGCAGCCGAGCACAGUGGCUCACUCCUGUGAUCCCAGCACUUCAGGAGGCUGAGAUGGGAGACCAGGAGCUUAAGACCAGCCUGGGCAACAUAGCGAGAUUCCUCUCCACAAAAAAUAAAAAAAUUUCAAAAAGAGAGAUAUAUUUCAUUUGAACUUCUACAGUUAGAAAAAAAAUGCUAAAUUGUCCCCCCCCCAAAAAAAAUCAAGAUAUAAUUUCAGUUUCUCAGAGAAGGAACAAAUCCAUAUAUAUUUUCUCUUUCUUUUUUUUUUUUGUAGAGACAGGAUCUCAUCAUGUUGCCUAGGCUGGUGUUGAACUCCUGGGCUGAAGCAGUCCUCCCACCUCAGCCUCCCAAAGUGCUAGGAUUAUGGGUGUAAACUACCACGCCUGACCCAAAUCCAUGGUUUUAACUACAAGCCAGAUAGUAGUUCUGAGGUCUGAGUAUUACUUCUGGUUUUGGUUUAACAGCAUUUAAAGGGGAAGAAUAAAGAAAAUUCCAUAUGGUUUCAGGAUAAAAUGGUGUUGAUGAGUCCUGGGUGGUUUAUUCUGAAGUUGUGGAGAUACUGAGUUCUGGCUCUUUAAGCACAAGGAAACUUGAAUUAAUAAGAACUGUGUUUUUCUGCAGAUAGUCUUUAUGGCAGAGUCAUUCUCUUUUAUUAUUCCUCAACAAAGCAUGCUCAGAAAUGGGAAAACUGCCAGUACAGACAUUUACCUUAUCUUUCUGAGGACAAUUAUGAAAAUAAAACCCAAAACAACUCCAUUCGUGAUCGUUAUUAACCUUUUUUAAAAAAUGUAGGCCGGUCGCGAUGGCUGACGCCUGUCAUCCCAGCAUUUUGGGAGGCCAAGGCAGGCGGAUCACCUAAAGUCAGGAGUUCAAGACCAGCCUGGCCAACAUGGUGAAACCCCCUUCUCUACAAAAAUUAGCCAGGUGUGGUGGAGGGUGCCUGUAAUCCCAGCUACUCGGGAGGCUGAGGUAGAAGAAGCACUUGAACCCGGGAGGCAGAGGUUGCAGUGAGCCAAGGUCGAGCCACAGCACUUCAGCCUGGGUGACAGAGCAAGACUCCAUCUCAAAAAAAUAAAAGGAGGCCGGGCGUGGUGGCUCAUAUCUAUAAUCCCAGCACUUUGGGAGGCUGAGGCAGGUGGGUCAUGAGGUCAGGAGAUUGAGACCGUCCUGGCUAAUACAGUGAAAUUCCGUCUCUACUAAAAAUGCAAAAAAUUAGCCGGGUGUGGUGGCACGUGCCUGUGGUCCCAGCU
This 5187-nucleotide small RNA is filed under the name Pan troglodytes (chimpanzee). RNAcentral's name for it is "retained intron". Lineage: Eukaryota; Metazoa; Chordata; Mammalia; Primates; Hominidae. The record is from RNAcentral.